Molecule: non-coding RNA, 159 nt
Organism: Chiloscyllium plagiosum (whitespotted bambooshark)
Lineage: Eukaryota; Metazoa; Chordata; Chondrichthyes; Orectolobiformes; Hemiscylliidae
Source: RefSeq, a predicted model, not a curated record
CUAAUUAGCUGGCAGGGGAAGACACCGUGAUUAUGAAGAUGGUACUCCCAGGAUGAGGCUAUCGCAUUACACUUCAGAUGUGCUGCUGCCUGCGAUGUCCCCAAGCACAGGAUGCUCAACUACACAAUUGGCAGUGAGACGACAUUUGUGUUCUCCCCC